RNAcentral lists this unclassified non-coding RNA (294 nucleotides) under Bombus terrestris (buff-tailed bumblebee). RNAcentral describes it as "misc RNA ENSBTSG00005036708.1". The record is from RNAcentral. Lineage: Eukaryota; Metazoa; Arthropoda; Insecta; Hymenoptera; Apidae.
CUGGAAAUCAAGUUAGAAAGCAACGUGUUAGCGUCGAAUAAUUUCAUUGAACUCUGUACGAUGAGCUUUCCAAUAUCAAGCUGGAUUGUGUCCCGUUUGAAAAUCCGAUUGGCUAUUCCCGGUUCGUUAUCUGAUUUGUCCUGUUAUUUUGCGAAGGAAAUGGAAAGAGAAGCAAGGCAGACAGAACAGAGCGUUUUUUGUGUCCGAUGGAAAACUCUGUUGCGAUCAAUCGGCCCGCAUCGUUCUACGGGGACAUCGAGAGUGAGGUCUCUAACGUCGUUUUAACGACGCUGC